RNAcentral lists this ribosomal RNA (42 nucleotides) under Urticina crassicornis (mottled anemone). RNAcentral describes it as "partial 28S ribosomal RNA". Lineage: Eukaryota; Metazoa; Cnidaria; Anthozoa; Actiniaria; Actiniidae. The record is from RNAcentral.
GACCUCAGAUCAGGCGAGGCUACCCGCUGAAUUUAAGCAUAU